GUAUACUGCCCUCUGGUGGUGACUGCCGGUAUGAGCCUGUUUAUUAAGUAUACUGCCCUCUGGUGGUCAAUGCAGGUGUGAGCCUGUUUAUUAAGUAUACUGCCCUCUGGUGGUCAAUGCAGGUGUGAGCCAUACACACAAACAUCCUGUAUAGAACUGUAAAUAGUGAAAUAGUAUGAGUUACAUUCUGGAGGAAGACUCAACUGAAACAUGGUGGUAUUUAGUGUGUGUUUCCAAGUACUGAGGCUGUAUCUCAUUCUAGGCCACACACACACACACCUGUACGUGUGUGUACCUCUCUCUACCUGCCUCUGUAAACAACCCUCCUGCCAUCUAAUCCACCAAGCCACUAGGACACAGAAUCUGACUGCAAAACGGCCCCCUGCACUCUGCAAAACGGCCCCCUGCACUCUGCAAAACGGCCCCUGCACUCUGCAAAACGGCCCCCUGCACUCUGCAAAACGGCCCCCUGCACUCUGCAAAACGGCCCCUGCACUCUGCAAAACGGCCCCCUGCACUCUGCAAACGGCCCCCUGCACUCUGCAAAACGGCCCCCUGCGCUCUGCAAAACGCUCCAACAUUCCUGUAACAUCGGGAGUUUUAAACUUCACUGCAAAGGGCUGUUGUGCAGACGGACCAUGUGGCCUGAAGCGGAAUCAGAAAGCCAUGUUGUGGAGUAACCACUCUCUGUAGAUAGAUUUAGCCAUCACUGUACAGCAGUGACAUGUUAACAUUUAGCCUGUGUUAAGAGCCACGUUAACUAACUACAUGUAUGACUACAACAUGAAAUCGUGAGCUCUCUCUCGAGUGUGUUCAUGUGUUCUGUGUGUGUUUGCGUGCGUCUAACGCACAUGUAAAUAUGAGUCCAGGACCGAACGGAACAUGGUGGAAUUCCAAACAUUCUGAAAUCAGAUUCCGAUUCCAGAUUCCCAGAGAAAGAGUUUGCGUUCCCAAACUAACUCUGGGACUCAAUGAAAAGACGAAGGGAUAUGGGAGAGCUCACCUGUGGGCUCAUAACUCUGUAUAAAUGAGGGAUGUGACCUCUCCUAAACUGAAGGACAUGGGGGAGCUCAUCUGUGGGUUCACAGCUCUGUAUAAUAAGGGAUGUGAUCUCUCCUAAACUGAAGGACAUGGUAGAGGUCAUCUGUGGGCUAACAGCUCUGUAUAAUAAGGGAUGUGACCUCUCCUAAACUGAAGGACAUGGGAGAGCUCACCUGUGCCAAAAUAACAGAAUAAUGAGGGAUGCUUUAUCCCGUCAUUCCUUUUUCUAAGUUCCUUAAUUCUCAGAAAGGGAAAAUAAAUGCUGGAUAAUGUUGGAUCAUACGUUGAAAGACAGAGAAAGACUCUUAAAAUAAAAUGUGUUUUUUAAUUUAGUUUAAAAAAAUGUAACUUGAUAAUGAAGAAUUGGGGUGCUGUGACCAACUUUCUCUUUCAAUAAAUAAACAUUUACUUCAUUUUUAUUAUUUCGUCAAACAGGGAUCUUCUUAAACGACCUGACUAAAGGUCACGAUGAGGUUAGAGGUCACAACCUUUCUCAAAACAGGACGUUUUUUUCUUCUUCUUCUUCUUCUUCUCGGAAGCACAAACGAUCUUCGCGGUAACUAUGGAGACGGAAAAGAAGAACACUCACACGGCGACGUAACGUGUGUGUGUGUGUUGUGGGAACGCUUAGAGCCUCGUGGAACAUGGUGAAGUGAAAGGAAACCUCUCCUUAACCUAGGUUAGGGGCCAACCAUAGAGUAAGAUACUUGACUAGGUACUCUAUCUAACUCUAUGGGGCUGCCAGUCGUUUAUCUCUACGGGCCGACCAUAGUUAGACAGAGGACUCUCUAAACACCCUCUUACCUUACUAGGUACUCUAACUCUAUGGGGCUGCCAGUCGUUUAGCUCUAGGGGCCAACCAUAGUUAGACAGAGGACUCUCUAAACACCCUCUUACCUUACUAGGUACUCUAACUAACUCUAUGGGGCUUCCAGUAGUUUAUCUCUAGGGGCCGACCAUAGAGUAAAAUAGAGGACUAAAGUUAAAUCUUACUUUACUAGGUACUCUAUCUAGCUCUAUGAGGCUGCCAGUAGUUUAUCUCUAGGGGCCGGCCAUAGAGUAAGAUAGAGGACUCUAAAGUUCACUCUUACUUUACUAGGUACUCUAUCUAACUCUAUGGGUCUGCCAGUCGUUCUCUCUCUCGCUACUAUGUGCCGUGAAGUGUAUGAUGAUAAUAGUCUAGCUGUAAUCUCUCUCAUCACUCUUGUGUGUGAUGGCUCGUCCAGUGUAGUCUUGGUAUUGCUCUCUUCUCUCCUGUGUGUGCUGUCUGUCUGUACGUACAGUACAGUGGUCUGUGUGUGCUGUCUGUCUGUACAGUACAGUACAGUGGUCUGUGUGUGCUGUCUGUCUGUACGUACAGUACAGUGGUCUGUGUGUGCUGUCUGUCUGUACAGUUCAGUACAGUGGUCUGUGUUGCCAGCAAAUGAAGGGUCGUUAUUAUUAUCCAAUCUUCCUCUAAGAAACACACACACACUAACGUUCAUUGCAGACCCACACAUUGCAGACACACACAUUGUAGACACAGACAGUAUUCUUUAUAUCUAGCCAUAGUCCUGUGAACUGUCUCACACUCACCAUAGAACUACAGUACCCAUACACCCUCACUCCUGUAAAUUUGACACUGGUUAGCAUUUGCAUCAUGGGAAAUGUAGUGUAUUAACUAGAGGGAUUUCCAGUUAAUGGGAGAAAGAGUCCAUAGGAAUGCUCGUUCAAACGAUCUUGAUUAACUCGCUCCAGGUAGAAGUUGCCUUUAACCACAGAUCUAGGAUCAAUUUACUCUCCCAUUGUCCUAAUCUUAACCAUUAGGCGGAACACACACACAAAAAAAAAUCUUAGAUCAGUGUCUAGGAAGCAACUUCAUCCUACACUGACAAGCUCAGUGUGUGUGUGUGUGUGUGUGUGUGUGUAUAUAAUUUAAUGUGAAUGAAAGACCAGCGAGACAAUCGUAACUGGCGUGAUUCCACUUGUUCUUAAUGUUCUGUUUAUCACGUCACCAUGACAACGCUACCUAUACUACGGCGUCUUGCACGACGGGAGGAGGACCGAAAAAAUAAAUAUAUAUAUAUAUAUAUACUGUUGGAAACUAAAAGAACCAAUGGCCUUUUCUUAAACUUGUAACAAUCUAACAACUCUUCAUAUCACACGUCUGUCUUCUAAAAAAAAAAUGAAUCAUAAAAAAACAAACUAUAGCUAGCUCUUUUUGUAGGGUAAUAAUUAUUAUUAUUAUGGUAAGAGCACCAUUUGUUUUCUGUUUUUCUUGAAUUGCAUUUUUAUUUUUUAUAAAACCGUACUGUAGACUUGUUACAUUUUUUUGAUGGUUGUUUUUAUGUACCUGGCUACAAUAACGGUUUACUAAGACGAUAAUACUGUCUGUUCUCAACUGUGGUGGUGACAUUAUUGAGCCUGGAAUCCAUGUUUUAAAAACAGAAUUAAAACAACUUUGACUCAGAA
Molecule: long non-coding RNA, 3492 nt
Organism: Oncorhynchus tshawytscha (Chinook salmon)
Lineage: Eukaryota; Metazoa; Chordata; Actinopteri; Salmoniformes; Salmonidae
Exons: 2
Source: RefSeq, a predicted model, not a curated record